AGAGUUUGAUCCUGGCUCAGAACGAACGCUGGCGGCGUGCAUAACACAUGCAAGUCGAACGAGAAAGCUCCUUCGGGAGUGAGUAAAGUGGCGCACGGGUGAGUAACACGUAGGUAAUCUGCCUUCGAGUUCGGGACAACUUGCCGAAAGGCGGGCUAAUACCGGAUAAGACCACGACCUCUGCGGAGGAUGUGGUAAAAGAUGGCCUCUCCAUGGAAGCUAUCGCUUAAAGAGGAACCUGCGGCCCAUUAGCUUGUUGGUGAGGUAACGGCUCACCAAGGCGAUGAUGGGUAGCUGGUCUGAGAGGACGAUCAGCCACACUGGAACUGAGACACGGUCCAGACUCCUACGGGAGGCAGCAGUGGGGAAUAUUGCGCAAUGGGCGAAAGCCUGACGCAGCAACGCCGCGUGAGUGAUGAAGGCCCUCGGGUUGUAAAGCUCUGUCAGGAGGGAAGAAACGACAGGAUGCCAAUACCAUCCUGUACUGACGGUACCUCCAGAGGAAGCACCGGCUAACUCCGUGCCAGCAGCCGCGGUAAUACGGAGGGUGCAAGCGUUGUUCGGAAUUAUUGGGCGUAAAGGGCGUGCAGGCGGUUUAGCAAGUCGGGUGUGACAUCCCUAGGCUCAACCUAGGAAAUGCAUUCGAUACUGCUAAGCUAGAGUCCGAGAGAGGGGAGUGGAAUUCCCAAUGUAGAGGUGAAAUUCUUAGAUAUUGGGAGGAACACCAGUGGCGAAGGCGACUCCCUGGAUCGGUACUGACGCUGAGCCGCGAAAGCGUGGGGAGCAAACAGGAUUAGAUACCCUGGUAGUCCACGCUGUAAACGAUGAACACUAGGUGUUGCGGGUAUUGACCCCUGCAGUGCCGAAGCUAACGCAUUAAGUGUUCCGCCUGGGGAUUACGGUCGCAAGGCUAAAACUCAAAGGAAUUGACGGGGGCCCGCACAAGCGGUGGAGUAUGUGGUUUAAUUCGACGCAACGCGAAGAACCUUACCCAGGUUUGACAUCUGAAGAAUCCCCUGGAGACAGGAGAGUGCCCUUCGGGGAACUUCAAGACAGGUGCUGCAUGGCUGUCGUCAGCUCGUGUCGUGAGAUGUUGGGUUAAGUCCCGCAACGAGCGCAACCCUUGUCCUUAGUUGCCACCAUUUAGUUGGGGACUCUAAGGAGACUGCCGGUGAUAAACCGGAGGAAGGUGGGGAUGACGUCAAGUCCUCAUGGCCUUUAUGCCUGGGGCUACACACGUACUACAAUGGCCGGUACAAAGAGGCGCAAGACCGCGAGGUGGAGCAAAUCUCAAAAAACCGGUCUCAGUCCGGAUUGGAGUCUGCAACUCGACUCCAUGAAGUUGGAAUCGCUAGUAAUCGUGGAUCAGCAUGCCACGGUGAAUACGUUCCCGGGCCUUGUACACACCGCCCGUCACACCACGAAAGUUGUUUGGACCAGAAGUCAUUAGGCUAACCCUUGGGAGGCCGGUGCCUAAGGUCUGAAUGGUGAUUGGGGUGAAGUCGUAACAAGGUA
This 1515-nucleotide ribosomal RNA is filed under the name metagenome. RNAcentral describes it as "bacterial SSU rRNA". It matches the Rfam family "Bacterial small subunit ribosomal RNA". The record is from RNAcentral.